AAGCGGCGGUAGUGCCGGUGGCGCCACAUGUAAUUGUACUCAUAGCUGUACAUGGCUUGGCUGUACUUCAAAUGCGUCUUCGCGCUUUUUUUCCCGAUUAUGAAACCAUCCGCGGUGGUAAUGGUGGUUAGUUCGUACUCACUUGCUGAAGUGGUAUUGGUUUUCGAGUGGAAAACUUUGGAUCGUUUUUGCAAUAACAGCAGGAACAACACUGCGUGGUUUCGGUUCGUGGCAUAAAUGAGCUCGUCUGGAUGGGAAUGAACUUGGCACAAGAAAGACACUGGCUACAGUCUAAGCGAAGAUUUUACUGUGGUUGUUGCACUGCUUUUGUAGUGACAUGUAAAAUAAGAAUUCAACCUUCCAGGAUCGUAAACAUGGACAUCAAAAAGGCAUGGCACCAUCAUAUUGCCCAACAGAACAGCUGUCAACUCCAGGGCUUGCCUGCUAGAAGUGCAUGUUGAAAAUGGACUGCGGUACUAAGGAACGCAGGAGUAGAAAAGGAUGAAGAAGGAUUGGAACUAGCCCUUGCUUAUGGGAGAUGAGCUACGUCAGCUAGACAAAGAUCCUCACUGCGACUGGUGCUUUACACAACGAACUCAAGGACGAUGCAGACUACAACGAGAAAAUCCUGGAUGCGAUCUCGGGUGCCCUGUUUGUCUUGGAGCAACGCUCACAAUCCUCCGACAGUCCAGGAACCUUGCAGCAGCCAUUCAGAGUAGCAGCAGGCAGGCUAUUGCGUCGCAUGGCCAGGUUUCACCCACCAGGCCAGUGCCACCUGCUCCCUUGACAGCCAAAAGCAGCAAUAAGAUUGGUUGCUGCACUGCCUGACCACACUUGUCAAGCCGACUGUGCAAGCCAAAGUUCACUGUUCAUUAGCCAAGUGGCCACAUUGCUCUGCCAUGCAAAAUGCCUUGCUCGGAGAAUGCGCUCACCACCGAAGAGGAACCUGAAUGUAAGCGUCAAUGCGCUGAAGCUGCUCACUGACGCUAUGCGGAUAAGACGACUGAAGCCCGCUCUACCAGCCUACAGCAAAUGCAGGAUGCUCAGUGUGAACGUCGAGCAACUGACACAGACAUGGAAAGGGCUGCCCAUUUGGAGAAACCGAAAGCUGUCGACCAUCAACACUGUACUGCCAAAAUGGUUGAGCAUCGGAGUGUCCAGGCUGUCCAAGCUGCUAUUCGUAUACUUGGAUUAUCAUCAUAGAUGAGUUCUGCCCGAAUUUUUUUCACUUGUGCUUUUCUGUCAUUGGUAAGGCUCAUAUACCAAAGGAAAUCCUAUGUGCAAUUUUGUGUUAAAUGAAUUCUAACGGGUUAAGCACCAGGUUAUUAGUACUAACAUAUCCAGAACUCAAGGCAUACAGAGUGUACUUACCUGAUGAGCCCUAAAUGAAACAUGCAUGCUGAAGUUGUCCGCUUAAUGCGGGAAUUGAUGCGAAGCAAUGGGUGACGUGACCUGUCACAUGUGGCAUGUACUACAGUACACGAGCAGCAACCGACAACCUGACUACACUGUCCAGAACUAGUAAGUAAGUUCUAUUUCCCUUUUAAGUUCCUAUUCCAUUUUAGAAUAGGGCAGGCGCUCGAAGCACCGCAGGAAAAAGAGUCAUUGGUUGUGGUUCUAUAGUUGUGGCUUCAUAGUUGUGGGGUACGGUAGUACACUCACGUUCACCGAUUCACUGCCUAACCCUUUCCACAUCUUUGCUCAGAGACACAGUUAGCUCCACAUUUGAGAAUCUGGAAACGCAAGAAUGUGUUCACCUCUGAGCCAACCGAAUUUUUUUUUUUUUGUUCGCCAGUUGGCAUCACAUUAAUAUAAACUCUGUACUGGCAAAGUAGCAGCUUUCGCUUUCGUUUCCCUAGAAAUGCAAAAACAUCAAUUCAAGUGGCUUAUCACUGAAUCAGCAGGAAAUGUUAAAAAUCAGCAGAUCUGCUGAUAAAUCAGCAGCUGUGGCACCACUGGCAUGGACCAGACGAGUAACUGUAGAGGUUGUGCCAGUUGCUUGGAACACCUGCUCAGGAGACCAAUCACGAAGCGCGCUGGAGCCCUGUUGUGGGGCACGGCCAAUCGGACACUUUGGAACGACCUUCAAACAUGUGCUUUUUGUGUGCUUGUUUCUAUGCGGAGGAGAGAGCAGAAGCAGCAUAUUUGAAAAUGGAGAAACACGCCUUCUCAUGACAACAAUAUGGUUGCACUGAGUUGCGUUGUUGCGGUGAUAUCGUGGCUUGAAAAAUGCAGUUAUUCUUGCGAUUUACAUUAAAUGUUUUGCCGCCUUGGCUGAUACAAUAAAUUUUUUAGACUGCUUC
Long non-coding RNA from Dermacentor andersoni, 2303 nucleotides. RefSeq lists it as uncharacterized. The record is from RefSeq and is a predicted model, not a curated record. Lineage: Eukaryota; Metazoa; Arthropoda; Arachnida; Ixodida; Ixodidae.